This 1036-nucleotide ribosomal RNA is filed under the name uncultured bacterium. RNAcentral describes it as "bacterial SSU rRNA". It matches the Rfam family "Bacterial small subunit ribosomal RNA", at positions 336 to 1393 of the family's 1533-position model. The record is from RNAcentral.
CUCCUACGGGAGGCAGCAGUGGGGAAUAUUGCGCAAUGGGGGAAACCCUGACGCAGCAACGCCGCGUGAUUGAAGAAGGCCUUCGGGUUGUAAAGAUCUUUAAUCAGGGACGAAACAAAUGACGGUACCUGAAGAAUAAGCACCGGCUAACUACGUGCCAGCAGCCGCGGUAAAACGUAGGGUGCAAGCGUUGUCCGGAAUUACUGGGUGUAAAGGGAGCGCAGGCGGACCGGCAAGUUGGAAGUGAAAACUAUGGGCUCAACCCAUAAAUUGCUUUCAAAACUGCUGGCCUUGAGUAGUGCAGAGGUAGGUGGAAUUCCCGGUGUAGCGGUGGAAUGCGUAGAUAUCGGGAGGAACACCAGUGGCGAAGGCGACCUACUGGGCACCAACUGACGCUGAGGCUCGAAAGCAUGGGUAGCAAACAGGAUUAGAUACCCUGGUAGUCCAUGCCGUAAACGAUGAUUACUAGGUGUUGGAGGAUUGACCCCUUCAGUGCCGCAGUUAACACAAUAAGUAAUCCACCUGGGGAGUACGACCGCAAGGUUGAAACUCAAAGGAAUUGACGGGGGCCCGCACAAGCAGUGGAGUAUGUGGUUUAAUUCGAAGCAACGCGAAGAACCUUACCAGGUCUUGACAUCCGAUGCAUAGCUUAGAGAUAAGUGAAGUCCUUCGGGACAUCGAGACAGGUGGUGCAUGGUUGUCGUCAGCUCGUGUCGUGAGAUGUUGGGUUAAGUCCCGCAACGAGCGCAACCCUUAUUGCCAGUUACUACGUAAGAGGACUCUGGCGAGACUGCCGUUGACAAAACGGAGGAAGGUGGGGAUGACGUCAAAUCAUCAUGCCCUUUAUGACCUGGGCUACACACGUACUACAAUGGCGUUUAACAAAGAGAAGCAAGACCGCGAGGUGGAGCAAAACUCAAAAACAACGUCUCAGUUCAGAUUGCAGGCUGCAACUCGCCUGCAUGAAGUCGGAAUUGCUAGUAAUCGCGGAUCAGCAUGCCGCGGUGAAUACGUUCCCGGGCCUUGUACACACCGC